CUGUAGAUGGAGGAAUUUCCACUUUGGUGUUUAUGUCAGGGCUCUCCAGGGAGGUUGAUGCAGCUAGGAACUGAAGUGCUUGGAGACAUGAUGUGUAAUAGUGAGGGGACUAGUGUGUGAUUUCUCAUUCUGCCCAUGAGAUUUGAGGACUGUGAAUCUGCAUGCAUGGAAAUCAUCUUGGGGAAGCUGCAGUAGUAGCAACGUGGCUCCCAUUUAUGCUUCAAUAACAGUUAGUUUACUCCAGAUUUGUUCCAUCCACUUCCUGCCGCGAGUGUGGGGAACCCUAGGGUGAAUUCAGUGGUGUUACAGUUUCCCUGCUUGACACACAGGAGUCUCUCCCCAAUUUUCUUGCCUUCUGAGGAAUAAUCCAAGACUUGUUGAAAGCACUCAGUGAAGCAAUCAUAGGAUGGGGUGUGAUCACCAGACACCAGAUGACCAGACAGCAGUUGCCUAGGAGGAACAUCUUGUGCCCACCUGAGCUGGGGCAAAGCCCAGGCAGGUGUGUUGGUGUUGCAGAAGCCAGGCAUUUCAAGGAUCAGUGUUCCCGCAUGGAGGUGGGAACUCUGAUCUGGAUCCCUAACAUGCUUCAGGCCUACCCUGUUGAGCAGGAAUGUACCACAUACCGAUGAGGACUCGCUCGAACUGCACAUGGUGCUGUUGAAACUGGAGGAUGUGGUGAAACAAAUCCGCGGCCCACUCGACAAGCAGGCCCAGCUGUUGGAAACGUCUGCGUCGCUUCAACUAAGGGUAAGGUGCACAUACGUUGUUUUUCUGGUGCUCGUGUCCUUGAUGUUGCUGCACAGGUACCAAGAAUCCUGAAGAAGGAUGAG
This is a long non-coding RNA of Ictalurus punctatus (channel catfish), 830 nucleotides long. Lineage: Eukaryota; Metazoa; Chordata; Actinopteri; Siluriformes; Ictaluridae. The record is from Ensembl.